Molecule: ribosomal RNA, 429 nt
Filed under: Bacteroidota bacterium
Lineage: Bacteria; Pseudomonadati; Bacteroidota
Description: Bacteroidetes bacterium partial 16S ribosomal RNA
Rfam family: Bacterial small subunit ribosomal RNA
Source: RNAcentral
UAGGGAAUCUUCGGCAAUGGGGGGAACCCUGACCGAGCAACGCCGCGUGAGUGAAGAAGGUUUUCGGAUCGUAAAGCUCUGUUGUUAAGGAAGAACGAGUGUGAGAAUGGAAAGUUCAUACUGUGACGGUACUUAACCAGAAAGGGACGGCUAACUACGUGCCAGCAGCCGCGGUAAUACGUAGGUCCCGAGCGUUGUCCGGAUUUAUUGGGCGUAAAGCGAGCGCAGGCGGUUAGAUAAGUCUGAAGUGAAAGGCAGUGGCUCAACCAUUGUAGGCUUUGGAAACUGUUUAACUUGAGUGCAGAAGAGGAGAGUGGAAUUCCAUGUGUAGCGGUGAAAUGCGUAGAUAUAUGGAGGAACACCGGUGGCGAAAGCGGCUCUCUGGUCUGUAACUGACGCUGAGGCUCGAAAGCGUGGGGAGCGAACAGG